Molecule: ribosomal RNA, 200 nt
Filed under: uncultured bacterium
Lineage: Bacteria
Description: partial 16S ribosomal RNA
Rfam family: Bacterial small subunit ribosomal RNA
Source: RNAcentral
UCCUACGGGAGGCAGCAGUAGGGAAUCUUCGGCAAUGGGGGCAACCCUGACCGAGCAACGCCGCGUGAGUGAAGAAGGUUUUCGGAUCGUAAAGCUCUGUUGUAAGAGAAGAACGUGUGUGAGAGUGGAAAGUUCACACAGUGACGGUAACUUACCAGAAAGGGACGGCUAACUACGUGCCAGCAGCCGCGGUAAUACGU